Molecule: ribosomal RNA, 500 nt
Filed under: uncultured bacterium
Lineage: Bacteria
Description: partial 16S ribosomal RNA
Rfam family: Bacterial small subunit ribosomal RNA
Source: RNAcentral
AUUGAACGCUGGCGGCAUGCCUUACACAUGCAAGUCGAACGGCAGCACGGGAGCAAUCCUGGUGGCGAGUGGCGAACGGGUGAGUAAAGUAUCGGAACGUGCCCAGUCGUGGGGGAUAACGUAGCGAAAGUUACGCUAAUACCGCAUACGAUCUAUGGAUGAAAGCGGGAGAUCGCAAGACCUCGCGCGAUUGGAGCGGCCGAUAUCAGAUUAGGUAGUUGGUGGGGUAAAGGCUCACCAAGCCGACGAUCUGUAGCUGGUCUGAGAGGACGACCAGCCACACUGGGACUGAGACACGGCCCAGACUCCUACGGGAGGCAGCAAUGGGGAAUUUUGGACAAUGGGCGAAAGCCUGAUCCAGCCAUGCCGCGUGCAGGAUGAAGGCCUUCGGGUUGUAAACUGCUUUUGUACGGAACGAAAAGGUUUGGCCUAAUAAGCUGAGCUCAUGACGGUACCGUAAGAAUAAGCACCGGCUAACUACGUGCCAGCAGCCGCCGUAA